Molecule: regulatory RNA element, 124 nt
Rfam family: Histidine operon leader
About the family: At least 6 amino acid operons are known to be regulated by attenuation. In each a leader sequence of 150-200 bp is found upstream of the first gene in the operon.
Source: Rfam
UCCAUAUCAUCAUACACCUUAGUAGUCUUUCAGGCUAUUGGUGCUGGAAGACAUUUAAAUCUUCCAGUGGCGGAUAAUGUAAUUAUCAUAAGCCCUCGGAAGAAAUCUUCCGAGGUUUUUUUUU